GAAAAUACCUUUCCCACGGGUCGUGAACUUCUUUUCUUGAAGAAGAAGCAAUGACGGUAUUUGGGGAAUAAGCAUUGACUAAUUCUAUGCCAGUAGUCGCGAUAAGACAAUGGAUAC
This 117-nucleotide ribosomal RNA is filed under the name Olea europaea subsp. europaea. Its description in RNAcentral is "SSU_rRNA_bacteria". The record is from RNAcentral. Lineage: Eukaryota; Viridiplantae; Streptophyta; Magnoliopsida; Lamiales; Oleaceae.